Molecule: long non-coding RNA, 800 nt
Filed under: Bos mutus (wild yak)
Lineage: Eukaryota; Metazoa; Chordata; Mammalia; Artiodactyla; Bovidae
Description: lncRNA (ENSBMUG00000002829.1)
Source: RNAcentral
GUCAAUGUUUGGGGAAAAAUAGACUAAACAUUCCCCGUAAUCUUUUCUGAUGAUAGGAUUUUUGGAUUCCCUAACAUUUCUUCACACUUUCUAGUAGUGAAUGAAAUCAGGGUUGGGGUGUUGUUGUUCACAUUCUCAGUAUGCCAAAGCUUGGGAAUGAAACAAUGUGGUAGAAUUUGGAGAAGCUGGUGGCCCCAUAUAUAAACCAUAGUGAUGUCUCCCCACAGCCCCUACAGCUGUCACCACACAUCACAUCAUACCUCAAGAGUCAGGAGGAAAUGAUGAAGAAAUUCCAGGAGCAGCUGAAUGAGAAAAUACAACUACUGAACACUGAACUAAAAAAACAGAGGAGCUCCCUGGAAACUUUGAAGGAGCAGCUCCAAGAGAGGAAUAAUUCCAAGCCACAGGCACUGCCAUCCAUCGUAGGCCGUGUUCUUAGUCCUGAUUUGCUGGAGCUAGCACCAGAGAAACCACGCUCUGAGGCAAUGAAGAGUCCCUUCUCCGAUAUUUCAGAGGCCACAUCUGUCAGUGGUUCAUGUUUACCAGGUUCUUCUCAGAUCCAUGAGGAGCUUCAGCAGACUUUUGACACAUCUUCUCAGGUUCCCAUUCAGGAAGAGGUGAACCAAGAGCAACAGCAGCAGCUGCAACAACAGCAGCAGCAGCAGGAACAGCAACAGCAGGAGCAGCAGCAACAGCAGCAGCAGCUGCAACAACAGCAGCAGCAGCUUCUGCCACUGUCUGAGCAGCCACAACAGUGUAAUACCACCAGAGAAAACCAAGAAAUGCAAGUAUUCGUGCCA